Molecule: ribosomal RNA, 253 nt
Filed under: uncultured bacterium
Lineage: Bacteria
Description: partial 16S ribosomal RNA
Rfam family: Bacterial small subunit ribosomal RNA
Source: RNAcentral
UACGGGGGAGGCGAGCGUUGUUCGGAAUUACUGGGCGUAAAGGGCUCGUAGGCGGCCAACUAAGUCAGACGUGAAAUCCCUCGGCUUAACCGGGGAACUGCAUCUGAUACUGGAUGGCUUGAGAUUGGGAGAGGGAUGCGGAAUUCCAGGUGUAGCGGUGAAAUGCGUAGAUAUCUGGAGGAACACCGGUGGCGAAGGCGGCAUCCUGGACCAACACUGACGCUGAGGAGCGAAAGCCAGGGGAGCAAACGGG